RNAcentral lists this ribosomal RNA (253 nucleotides) under uncultured bacterium. RNAcentral's name for it is "partial 16S ribosomal RNA". It matches the Rfam family "Bacterial small subunit ribosomal RNA", at positions 524 to 776 of the family's 1533-position model. The record is from RNAcentral.
UACGUAGGGGGCAAGCGUUGUCCGGAUUUAUUGGGCGUAAAGAGCGUGUAGGCGGCUUGGAAGGUCCGUUGUGAAAACUCGAGGCUCAACCUCGAGACGCCGAUGGAAACCACCUAGCUAGAGUCCGGAAGAGGAGAGUGGAAUUCCUGGUGUAGAGGUGAAAUUCGUAGAUAUUCGCAAGAACACCAGUGGCGAAGGCGGCUCACUGGCCCGGUACUGACGCUGAGGUGCGAAAGCGUGGGGAGCAAACAGG